Molecule: ribosomal RNA, 555 nt
Filed under: uncultured archaeon
Lineage: Archaea
Description: bacterial SSU rRNA
Rfam family: Archaeal small subunit ribosomal RNA
Source: RNAcentral
CGGGGAGCAGCAGGCGCGAAACCUUUACACUGCACGCCAGUGCGAUAAGGGGACCCCGAGUGCGAGGGCAUACUAGCCCUCGCUUUUUUCAACCGUAGGGAGGUUGAUGAACAAGAGCUGGGCAAGACCGGUGCCAGCCGCCGCGGUAAUACCGGCAGCCCAAGUGAUGGCCGAUCUUAUUGGGCCUAAAGCGUCCGUAGCUGGCCGCGCAAGUCCAUCGGGGAAUCCACCUGCUCAACAGGUGGGCGCCCGGUAGAAACUGCGUGGCUUGGGACCGGAAGGCGCGACGGGUACGUCCGGGGUAGGAGUGAAAUCCCGUAAUCCUGGACGGACCGCCGAUGGCGAAAGCACGUCGCGAGAACGGAUCCGACAGUGAGGGACGAAAGCCAGGGUCUCGAACCGGAUUAGAUACCCGGGUAGUCCUGGCCGUAAACAAUGUCUGCUAGGUGUGGCUCCCACUACGAGUGGGUGCUGUGCCGCAGGGAAGCCGCUAAGCAGACCGCCUGGGAAGUACGUCCGCAAGGAUGAAACUUAAAGGAAUUGGCGGGGGAGCAC